CCAGCCCAGCGCGGUUAUACCUCUCUCAUAUAGGAUCUAUUUCUUAAUCAGAGAUUAUAUUAACCUUUUAGGCGGUGCCGAUUGAUGUUAUUUAAUAGGGGUUAAAUCCAUUAUUAUUUUAUUAUACCUAGAUCGGCACAUAGUUUCUUACUUUAUAUGAGCUCCCAUCUGGAACGGGGAUUGGAUACCCCCUUACUAGGAGAAGUUUUAUGUGAUUAAGGUUAUUAUAAUAUAGCUCUCUUUAUAGGUAUUAAAUAUGGAAAGAAAACUAUAGGUCUUGGCGGUCAGAAAAGAACCUUAGGGAGUUUAUGGGUUUAAUAGAUGAUACACUUAAAAGCUCACAGUCUUCUAUUAUUUUAAACAAGGUCACUAUACCUCUGCUUAAAGAUCAGUUUGAAGAGUGAUAAUUCUCAUAAUGGGAAGUGAGAGCAAGUUAAGGUGGUGCCUAUAAGGCUGUCCCAGAGAACUACAAUCAGUUAGGUGUUGGAGGAUAUACCUGCAAAGGUGUCUGAUAAAGAGGACCAAGUUGUAAGCUGGAAACUAGAGAGUUCAGCUGAACUAUCUUUUCUGGAGUACAAAUCGCCCGUCACUCUCAACGUUAAGAGGAGAUAAGUCGUAACUAGUU
RNAcentral lists this ribosomal RNA (625 nucleotides) under Ponderinella sp. RG-2020. RNAcentral's name for it is "partial 12S rRNA". The record is from RNAcentral. Lineage: Eukaryota; Metazoa; Mollusca; Gastropoda; Littorinimorpha; Tornidae.